UUAAGUGUAGGGUGCCAAUACUUUUGUCUGCGACUGUAAUUUUAUUUUUCUGUCUGUGUUUUCCAGGGCAAAUACAAAGACAUUGGGAAGAUUUCUCAACGCAUUACAAAGAGAAAUCAAGACAGCAUGCACAAAUGUACAUUGCAGAUGGGAAAGAAAAUAAAGAAUUUGACUUUACAGUCAUGUCUUAAAACAUCCUUUCCAAGCAUUUGUUGGAGGACAAUGCAGACGUCCAAUAUUACACUGGGGUUAUAGAUUCCCCAACAUCGUGCAGGAACUCAAACAACAUGAUGCAUAUGUGAGCAAAAAACAAAAACGUCCUAGUGCAACAUUCCCAUAGAAAUAUACAUCGCUGUUCCUGUACUGCCUAAUGUUAUCUUACGUAGGGUAGUCCUCAGUUUGUCAGGGUCUGUGAAAUAGGCCAAUAAAUUACUGUGCAAAAUGUGCACCACUUUGUGAAAAGCAAAGUUGUGUUAAAUAUCAUAUGUACAAAACUAAAUUCUACUUGUAGGUCCUUUGAGCAGUCAUAAUAUAUGCAUGUAGGCAUAAACAAUAACAGUUAGAAAUACUGAAAGAAAAACAAUACAUUUCAUGACGAAUGUUUUGAUUAGUCUUUCAAUGUUUUAAAAAAUGAAGACAUUACAAAAGACUUAUUGGUGUUUAAUAGUUAUGGAUCAUUAAUUACAGUAAAACUUAGUAAAAAAAAUAUAUGUGGUUUCAUUUUGCAGAAUAGGUUUCUUUAUUUACAAUGUAGCUGUUCAAACUUUUUUCUUAGAUUCUGUGUCUGCAAGAAGUGCAAGAGGACCACUACAAAACCCAGAUCAAACCAAGUCUAGAAUCCUUAGAUUUCUGGACAACAGACUCCGAGGCCACCGGAUAUUGUCUGUGCCUAAAAACCUUGGGAUGUCUCGCCACUGUCAAUAUGAAACUGGAUACCAUAGCAAUACAGACAAAUCCACUAAAGAUGCAGAAGACUAUUCCAAUGUGCCUUCAACUGCCAGUCAAGAUAAAUAUUUCCUCCAAGUGAAAAGUAGGUUCUGGAAUUGGGAUUAUUUGUGACACAUUAUACCAUUAGGUGGCUGAAAAGUUGUAUGAUGUAAGAAAGAUUUUAAAGUUACAUUUUCACUGUGUGUUGAUUCUAUUUUACAACUAUUUUGUCAUCACUGCACAAGUAACAUAUCACCCCAAUCAGUCUGUUGUAUAGUUUAACCAUUUCUAGUUACAGACACUGUUUUAAACAGUCUCUAGAAUCUGAAGCAGGAGUUGACCACUGUUGUCUUUGCAUAUUGAUUCCAAGGUUGUCAUAUUUCAUUAAUUUAGGAUACUAUUUAGCAAUUUUACAUUACUUUAGUUCUAUAUAGAAGUAGUAAAUGUGUUUGAAAAAGGAAAUACAUCCGACCUGAGGUUUUUACAGUCAGGAAAUGUAAUGUUCAGAGUGUGAGGCCACAACAUAACUGUAACUGUUCUUCUUUCCUCUUCUGCUGCUGUUACUUCCUCCAGGAAGUAUAAGAUGAUCGACAAAGAGUAUAUUAUUGUAUCUCUAAUGAACAGGGGGAAAAGACCUUGAUCAAGGAUCUUGGAAUUUCAAAUGUGCUUUGUUAUUUUCAUACUUCUUUCCCAAUGCUCGCUUAUUUUUAUAGUUGGUAUAGAUAUAUUUUUUAGGUCUAGCACUGAUAUUUCCCUUUUAUAUUUUAAAUGAAUUUGUUAAUAGAACAUAUGUGUGGCAGGGUGCACCACCCCUUUGCAUAUUUUGUGUUUUAUGUUGUAUUUAUGUAUGCACAAUCACUUCACGUGCAGAUUAAAAAGGUAUGUUGGUAUGUGAGCACGGGAGUAGUAAAGGCACGACAGCAUCUGUCACUUUUC
Molecule: long non-coding RNA, 1863 nt
Organism: Acipenser ruthenus (sterlet)
Lineage: Eukaryota; Metazoa; Chordata; Actinopteri; Acipenseriformes; Acipenseridae
Exons: 3
Source: RefSeq, a predicted model, not a curated record